CACCUCUAGCAUUACUAGUAUUAGAGGCAUCGCCUGCCCAGUGACUCACGUUAAACGGCCGCGGUAUUCUGACCGUGCAAAGGUAGCAUAAUCACUUGUUUCUUAAUUGGGGACUAGUAUGAAUGGCUCGACGAGGGUUUAACUGUCUCUUACAUUUGAUCCAUGAAAUUGACCUCUCCGUGAAGAGGCGGAGAUACUAAAAUAAGACGAGAAGACCCUAUGGAGCUUCAAUUUAUUAGUCUACUUGAUCAUAAUAUAACCCUAUUAGGUCCAACAAUACAUCAUACUAGAUUAAUAAUUUUGGUUGGGGUGACCUCGGAGAACAAAAAAUCCUCCGAAAGAUUUUAUAUAAGACUCACAAGUCUAGUAAAUGGAAUUAAUUACAAUUCCAUUAUCUUCAAUUGACCCAGACUUACCUGAGCAAUGGACCAAGUUACCCUAGGGAUAACAGCGCAAUCCUUCUAGAGAGUUCAUAUCGAUAGUAGGGUUUACGACCUCGAUGUUGGAUCAGGACAUCCCAAUGGUGCAGCAGCUAUUAAAGGUUCGUUUGUUCAACGAUUAAAGUCCU
RNAcentral lists this ribosomal RNA (568 nucleotides) under Heteromys australis (Southern spiny pocket mouse). RNAcentral's name for it is "partial 16S ribosomal RNA". It matches the Rfam family "Bacterial large subunit ribosomal RNA", at positions 1816 to 2597 of the family's 2925-position model. Lineage: Eukaryota; Metazoa; Chordata; Mammalia; Rodentia; Heteromyidae. The record is from RNAcentral.